RNAcentral lists this ribosomal RNA (227 nucleotides) under uncultured bacterium. Its description in RNAcentral is "partial 16S ribosomal RNA". It matches the Rfam family "Bacterial small subunit ribosomal RNA", at positions 122 to 334 of the family's 1533-position model. The record is from RNAcentral.
CAACCUGCCCAGAAGAGGGGAAUAGCCCGGGGAAACUCGGAUUAAUACCGCAUGUGAUUCCUCCUGGCAUUAGGAGGCAAUUAAAGGUGGGGAUCCUUCGGGACCUGCCGCUUCUGGAUGAGCCUAAGUCGGAUUAGCUUGUUGGUGAGGUAAAGGCUCACCAAGGCGACGAUCCGUAGCUGGUCUGAGAGGACGAUCAGCCACACUGGGACUGAGACGCGGCCCAG